RNAcentral lists this ribosomal RNA (355 nucleotides) under Xerogyra spadae. RNAcentral's name for it is "partial 16S ribosomal RNA". It matches the Rfam family "Bacterial large subunit ribosomal RNA", at positions 1933 to 2576 of the family's 2925-position model. Lineage: Eukaryota; Metazoa; Mollusca; Gastropoda; Stylommatophora; Geomitridae. The record is from RNAcentral.
GCAGUACCCUGACUGUGCAAAGGUAGCAUAAUCACUUGUUUUAUAAUUGAAGUCUGGCAUGAAAGAACUAAUGGGGAAAUACUGUCUUCUUUGGUUACGUAGAAAUUAUUGCUUAGGUGAAAAUACCUAUACUAACACAAUAGACGAGAAGACCCUAGAAAUUUUUUAUAAAACGAUUAAGUAAUUAGUAAUAUUUUGUUGGGGCGACAGAAUAACAUGUAACUUGUUUUAUUUAAUUAGUACAAUGUAGUGAGGUAAAACAAAUUACUCUAGGGAUAACAGCAUAAUUUAUUAAAGUUUGUGACCUCGAUGUUGGACUAGGAAUUUUAAUAGUCAGAAGCUAUUGAGGCUUGGC